RNAcentral lists this ribosomal RNA (373 nucleotides) under Sphenomorphus cf. decipiens 1 CWL-2011. Its description in RNAcentral is "partial 16S ribosomal RNA". It matches the Rfam family "Bacterial large subunit ribosomal RNA", at positions 1928 to 2495 of the family's 2925-position model. Lineage: Eukaryota; Metazoa; Chordata; Lepidosauria; Squamata; Scincidae. The record is from RNAcentral.
CGGCCGCGGUAUUCUAACCGUGCAAAGGUAGCGUAAUCACUUGUCUCCUAAAUAGAGACCAGUAUGAAUGGCUAAAUGAAGACAAGCCUGUCUCUUACAACCUAUCAAUGAAACUGAUCUUCAAGUCCAAAAGCUAGAAUAUAUACAUAAGACGAGAAGACCCUGUGGAGCUUAAAAUUCACUACUAACCAAAUUAAAUUAACCAAUAAAACUAGUACAAAUUUUGAGUUGGGGCGACUUCGGAACAAAACAAAACUUCCAAGCACAGAACCACCACUUCUAACUAAGGCCAACAGGCCAAAGCAAAAACUGACCCAGUAAUACUGAUCAACGAACCAAGUUACCCCAGGGAUAACAGCGCUAUCUUCUUCAA